RNAcentral lists this long non-coding RNA (729 nucleotides) under Nicotiana tabacum (common tobacco). RNAcentral describes it as "long non-coding RNA (NTAB_LNC009907)". The record is from RNAcentral. Lineage: Eukaryota; Viridiplantae; Streptophyta; Magnoliopsida; Solanales; Solanaceae.
UGCAUCGUUUGCUAGCUACUUCAGAGUCUACUUUUGACGACUUGAAAGCAUUGACGCGAAGGUAAUUUCUUCUUCUUCUCUUGUGCUUUCUUCUUUUAUUGGUUUCUCUUUUUUUUUGUAGGUCGAACAAGAAGGAUUUGUUCUUGUUCAACAAGAUGAUCCAUGCACGAAGAAGCCAAUCUUGGGGUGUGAGGGGAAGAGUACUCAUCCUUGACCGACUAUCAGAGAGAUUACUCUCAAAACGGCCCGACUAUCAGAAAGAUUACUCUCAAUGUGGCCUGACUAUCGGAGAGAUUACUCUCAAUGUGGCUCGACUAUCGGCGAGGCCAACUUAAGGUGCAAAGGGACUCAUAGGUCCACCUUAAGAUUGGAAAGUUAUAGUUCCUUUUAAGGACAAUCCCGUGAAGUGGCUAACUUAAGGUGCAAAGGGACUUAUAUGUCCAUCUUAAGAUUGAAAAGUUAUAAAGCUUCAACUCGAAUACGACAUCGACUUGAACACUUGGAAAACUUUGAAGAUUUGGCGGACUUUGCAGACUUCAACUCGAAGAUUCGGAGGGCUUAAAUAUUUCAACUUGAAGAUCGGCGAAUUUGAAGACUUCAACUUGAAGACCGACGGACUUGAAGACUUCAAUUUUGAGACUUGGAGGGCCUAAAUAUUUCAACUUGAAGAUUAGCGAAUUUGAAGACUUCUACUUGAAGACCGACGGACUUGAAGACUUCAACUUUGAG